GAUGAACGCUGGCGGCGUGCCUAAUACAUGCAAGUCGAGCGAACAGACGAGGAGCUUGCUGCUCUGACGUUAGCGGCGCACGGGUGAGUAACACGUGGAUAACCUACCUAUAAUACUGGGAUAACUUCGGGAAACCGGCGCUAAUACCGUAUAAUCUUUUGAACCGCAUGGUUCAAUAGUGAAUGACGGUCUUGCUGUCACUUAUCGAUGGAUCCGCGCUGCAUUAGCUAGUUGGUAAGGUAACGGCUUACCAAGGCAACGAUGCGUAGCCGACCUGAGAGGGGGGUCGGCCGCACUGGAACUGGGACAGGGUCCAGAGUACUGCGGGAGGCAGCAGUAGGGAAUCUUCGGCAAUAGGCGAAAGCCUGACGGAGCAACGCCGCGUGAGUGAUGGAGGCGUUCGGAUCGGAAAACUCUGUUAUGAGGGAAAAACAGCUGUGUAAGUAAAUGUGCACAUCUUGACGGUACCUAAUCAGAAAGCCACGGCUAACUACGUG
This 497-nucleotide ribosomal RNA is filed under the name uncultured bacterium. Its description in RNAcentral is "partial 16S ribosomal RNA". It matches the Rfam family "Bacterial small subunit ribosomal RNA", at positions 28 to 507 of the family's 1533-position model. The record is from RNAcentral.